AUGACAGAACUCAGUGAUCCUCUUGCCUCAGCCUCCCUCAGUGUUGGGAUGAUAAGUAUGCACCACCCAUCUGGCGCUCACUUGUUCAUUUUUCCAGGUCUCUGCCGCAAGUUGAAGAUUGUGUGUAAGAGGAGAAAAGGAAGAGGCGAGGCCCUGAUGCGCACGCCUUCACAACACUCCCUGCCCAGGGCUCCCCUAAGUCGACUUCUUCACUCCAACCAAAACAUCUCCUUUGAAAUGACCCCCUCUCCAGUAAGUGCCAGAGCAACUGGAUGGAGUCCGCCGCUCCCCUCUGCCGAGCCCUUCAGGCUUCUGAGCUCCCAUCGUGGUGGCACUCGUGCAAUCGCUGUGCUCUGUGUUCAUAAGUCCCACAAGGAAAGAGCCCAUCCUGCUGUGUUUAGUGCUGUCGGCUGCACGGGGGACACAGUUGUUCAUACUCGGAAGGUAUACAAUGGGGAGCAGGCAAGAUGGGGUGGGGAGGUGGAGACAAAGAAUGUCAUGUGCGCGUCCAAAUCUGCCGUACGAAGCCAUUAAUCUGUAUAACCAAGAUGCACUAACAAAAAAGAUCUGAAAAAGGGAGCUUAUCGUAACAAAGUAAAGAUUUCAUUUGUUUUCCCAUUUCUCCUGACUUCCUUCUUUACUUUUGAGUCACGAUCUCACUAAGUUGCU
Molecule: long non-coding RNA, 669 nt
Filed under: Fukomys damarensis (Damara mole-rat)
Lineage: Eukaryota; Metazoa; Chordata; Mammalia; Rodentia; Bathyergidae
Description: lncRNA (ENSFDAG00000031422.1)
Source: RNAcentral